This 1679-nucleotide unclassified non-coding RNA is filed under the name uncultured fungus. RNAcentral's name for it is "sequence contains 18S rRNA gene, ITS1, 5.8S rRNA gene, ITS2, 28S rRNA gene". The stretch from base 580 to 1679 matches the Rfam family "Eukaryotic large subunit ribosomal RNA", at positions 1 to 961 of the family's 3401-position model. Lineage: Eukaryota; Fungi. The record is from RNAcentral.
GGAAGGAUCAUUCAUAAUAAGUGUUUAUGGCACUUUUAAAAAUCCAUACCCACCUUGUGUGCAUCGUUAGUCAUGUUCCUCGUUCUCACUUGAGAGGGCGAGGAGGCAGACUUCAAAUUAAUCUAUCUUUAACCAGUUUGUCUGAAGCAAUGUAUCGUGAAUUAACAUAAUUCUAAAAUACAACUUUCAACAACGGAUCUCUUGGCUCUCGCAUCGAUGAAGAACGCAGCGAAAUGCGAUACGUAAUGUGAAUUGCAGAAUUCAGUGAAUCAUCGAAUCUUUGAACGCACAUUGCGCUCUCUGGUAUUCCGGAGAGCAUGCUUGUUUGAGUAUCAGUAAAACACCCUCAGUUUUUUCUUUUUUGAAAAAGCUGGACUUGAGUGAUCCCAACGGGUUUUUUUUUAAAAAGGCCGGCGGGUUGCUUGAAAUGCAGGUGCGGCUGGACACAUCUUCUGAGCUAUAAGCAUUACCUAUUUAGUCCCGUCAAACGGAUUAUUUCUAUUGCUACAGCUAAUAUAAAGGUUGAUUGUCCUUUUGCCCGACUGAUGCAGGAAAACAUGGAGAAAUCCUUGUUCAACUCGAUCUCAAAUCAAGUAAGACUACCCGCUGAACUUAAGCAUAUCAAUAAGCGGAGGAAAAGAAACUAACAAGGAUUCCCCUAGUAACGGCGAGUGAAGCGGGAUGAGCUCAAAUUUAAAAUCUGGCUGGUUUACCAGUCCGAGUUGUAGUUUAAAGAAGCGUUUUCGGUGGCAGGCCGGGUAUAAAUCCUUUGGAACAGGGUAUCAUAGAGGGUGAGAAUCCCGUCUUUGACUCGGCUGAUGUUACUAUGUGAUACGUUUUCAAAGAGUCGAGUUGUUUGGGAAUGCAGCUCAAAAUGGGUGGUAAAUUUCAUCUAAGGCUAAAUAUUGGCGAGAGACCGAUAGCGAACAAGUACCGUGAGGGAAAGAUGAAAAGAACUUUGAAAAGAGAGUUAAACAGUGCGUGAAAUUGUUGAAAGGGAAACGUUUGACACCAGCUAUGUAGGCGGAAAAUCAGUCAAGCGCAGUGAGGGGCUGGUGUUUGUCCGGACCGCAAGGCCGGCGGAUAUCUCAUCUUUGCUGUGGGUGAUGCACUUUUUCGUUCGCAGGUCAACAUCAGUUUCGCUUGCUGGACAAAACCCCGAGAGAAGGUAGCAGCUUUGGCUGUGUUAUAGCUCUGGGGCGAUACAGUGGGUGGGACUGAGGAUUCGCAGUGUGUGCUCUCGGGCAAGGCUGACUGGGUGCUCUGGGGUCGUUUGGCGUACAAUGCAUGCAUUUUGCGUCUUGUCUUCUUCAGACUCGCUUAGUUCGGCUCUUCCACGCUUAGGAUGUUGACUUAAUGGUUUUAAACGACCCGUCUUGAAACACGGACCAAGGAGUCUAACAUGCAUGCAAGUGUUUGGGUGGCAAACCCAUGCGCGUAAUGAAAGUGAACGUAGGUGCGAUCCGCAAGGUGCAGCAUCGACCGAUCUUGAUAUUUUUGGAUAGAUUUGAGUAAGAGCAUGUAUGCUGGGACCCGAAAGAUGGUGAACUAUGCCUGAAUAGGGUGAAGCCAGAGGAAACUCUGGUGGAGGCUCGUAGCGAUUCUGACGUGCAAAUCGAUCGUCAAAUUUGGGUAUAGGGGCGAAAGACUAAUCGAACCAUCUAGUAGCUGGUUCCUGC